CCUACGGGGGGCAGCAGUGAGGAAUAUUGGUCAAUGGUCGGGAGACUGAACCAGCCAAGCCGCGUGAGGGAGGAAGGUACAGAGUAUCGUAAACCUCUUUUGUCAGGGAACAAAGACUGGGACGCGUCCCCGGAUGAGUGUACCUGAAGAAAAAGCAUCGGCUAACUCCGUGCCAGCAGCCGCGGUAAUACGGAGGAUGCGAGCGUUCUCCGGAUUUCAUGGGUUUAAAGGGUGCGCAGGCGGUCUGUUAAGUCAGCUGUCAAAGCCUGGGGCUCAACCCUGGCCCGGCGUUUGAAACGGGCAGCCUCGAGUUCGAGAGAAGUAGGCGGAAUGCGUGGUGUAGCGGUGAAAUGCAUAGAUAUCGCGAAGAACUCCGAUUGCGAAGGCAGCAUGC
This 394-nucleotide ribosomal RNA is filed under the name uncultured bacterium. RNAcentral describes it as "partial 16S ribosomal RNA". It matches the Rfam family "Bacterial small subunit ribosomal RNA", at positions 338 to 729 of the family's 1533-position model. The record is from RNAcentral.